UUUCUGUGAUGAAUUCCACUUCACUGGUCCGUGUUUAUGAAGCUUUGUGACUUGACUGGAAGAUCUGAUUAU
Pseudophryne corroboree (corroboree frog) is the source of this 72-nucleotide small nucleolar RNA. RefSeq annotates it as small nucleolar RNA SNORD18. NCBI's taxonomy places the organism in Eukaryota, Metazoa, Chordata, Amphibia, Anura, Myobatrachidae. The record is from RefSeq and is a predicted model, not a curated record. The transcript has a single exon.